RNAcentral lists this ribosomal RNA (253 nucleotides) under uncultured bacterium. Its description in RNAcentral is "partial 16S ribosomal RNA". It matches the Rfam family "Bacterial small subunit ribosomal RNA", at positions 524 to 776 of the family's 1533-position model. The record is from RNAcentral.
UACGGGGGGUGCGAGCGUUGUCCGGAAUCACUGGGCUUAAAGGGCGCGUAGGCGGGCUGCUAAGUCAGGGGUGAAAGCCCACGGCUCAACCGGGGAAUUGCGCCUGAUACUGGCGGGCUAGAGAUCGAUAGGGGUGAGUGGAACUCCAGGUGGAGCGGUGAAAUGCGUAGAUAUCUGGAGGAACACCGGUGGCGAAAGCGGCUCACUGGAUCGAUACUGACGCUGAGGUGCGAAAGCUAGGGUAGCAAACGGG